RNAcentral lists this long non-coding RNA (246 nucleotides) under Erythranthe guttata (spotted monkey flower). RNAcentral's name for it is "long non-coding RNA (EGUT_LNC001350)". The record is from RNAcentral. Lineage: Eukaryota; Viridiplantae; Streptophyta; Magnoliopsida; Lamiales; Phrymaceae.
AGAGAGAAUAAAAUAUUUCUAAAGAUCAUAUAUCAUCUAUAUUAUAUACACAUAUGUUGAGCUCUUGUUGUGUGUCGGGUGUAAGCUUCUACUUCACUUGAACGUGCAAUUUCGGUGAAGUUACAGCGGAAAGAUAGGCUGGGCUGUUGUAUCCCAUAGGCGACACGAUCGGAACCUUUUUGCACCUCAUUAUAGAAGGGAUCGUGAAAUUCGUCUUAAGAAAGCGACCUAGUCCGCGCCUCACCU